RNAcentral lists this ribosomal RNA (456 nucleotides) under uncultured Pseudomonas sp. RNAcentral describes it as "bacterial SSU rRNA". It matches the Rfam family "Bacterial small subunit ribosomal RNA", at positions 926 to 1382 of the family's 1533-position model. The record is from RNAcentral. Lineage: Bacteria; Pseudomonadati; Pseudomonadota; Gammaproteobacteria; Pseudomonadales; Pseudomonadaceae.
CAAGCGUGGAGCAUGUGGUUUAAUUCGAAGCAACGCGAGAACCUUACCAGGCCUUGACAUGCAGAGAACUUUCCAGAGAUGGAUUGGUGCCUUCGGGAACUCUGACACAGGUGCUGCAUGGCUGUCGUCAGCUCGUGUCGUCGAGAUGUUGGGUUAAGUCCCGUAACGAGCGCAACCCUUGUCCUUAGUUACCAGCACGUUAUGGUGGGCACUCUAAGGAGACUGCCGGUGACAAACCGGAGGAAGGUGGGGAUGACGUCAAGUCAUCAUGGCCCUUACGGCCUGGGCUACACACGUGCUACAAUGGUCGGUACAAAGGGUUGCCAAGCCGCGAGGUGGAGCUAAUCCCAUAAAACCGAUCGUAGUCCGGAUCGCAGUCUGCAACUCGACUGCGUGAAGUCGGAAUCGCUAGUAAUCGUGAAUCAGAAUGUCACGGUGAAUACGUUCCCGGGCCUU